Molecule: ribosomal RNA, 250 nt
Filed under: uncultured archaeon
Lineage: Archaea
Description: partial 16S ribosomal RNA
Rfam family: Archaeal small subunit ribosomal RNA
Source: RNAcentral
UACCGGCGGCUCGAGUGGUGGCCGCUAUUACUGGGUUUAAAGGGUCCGUAGCUUGAUACAUGGGUCCCUUGAGAAAUCCGUAUGCUUAACGUACGGGCGUUCAGGGGAAACUGUGUUUCUAGGGACCGGGAGAGGUGAGAUGUACUGCCGGGGUAGGAGUGAAAUCCUGUAAUCCCGGUGGGACGACCAAUGGCGAAGGCAUCUCACCAGAACGGCUCCGACAGUGAGGGACGAAAGCUGGGGGAGCAAA